UCCCACAACACACCUGGCCCGGGACACCUGAGCCUCGCCUCCCGCCACACACCUGCUGGCCCGGGACACCUGAGCCUCAACACACCUGGCCCGGGGACACCUGAGCCUCAACCAAACACUACUGUAUAUACAUAAAGAUAGGAAAGAGGACUAAAAUGUUGGGCUCAUUGGGUCCCAAGAAGUGCUGAGCCAAAACGAUAAAUAGUGCAGUAACUCCUACCAGGUGUUGGAUGAAGCUGGAGAGGAAGAGAAGAGGAAGGACGAGGAAAGAGAAGAGGAAGGACGAGGAAGAGAAGAGGAAGGACGAGGAAUGAGAAGAGGAAGGACGAGGAAGAGAAGAGGCAGGAUGUUGUGCAUGGAGAAGAAGGGCAGGUGUACAGACCCUGCCCAGUGGUAGUUAGGGACAGCCAGGAGAUGAAUACUGUCAAACCGUCUGGUCCCCGAGAUACCUGUAUGGUAGAAACUGUCAGUUUAUUGAAAUUUCCAAAGGAGGGCCACCAGACUGAUGCCUCCACUAUGGCACCUCGGUUACCUAGAAGGAUUAGAAUGCCUGCAAUUGCCUAGCUAAUACAGUACUUAAGGCGGGCAAAUGGUGACUUAAUUGAGGUUUAUAAACAGCUGAAAGUGCCCACUACCACCACUACCAUCUAUGACAAGAUAAGUUUAGAUGAAAAUGAAAACUGAAGCAAAAAGCAGAAGCCUUAAGAACACACGUAUGACAACUGACUGUGUGGUGGAUGUUAAUUACAGAAGACAACAAUUUAUACCAGCUGACUUUAAACUGAAUUGUUGACAGUUCCACCACCACCACUACCAUCAACACUCCUGGCAAGUAGAGGGAAGCACAGCAGUCCAGGGGAGUGGUGGGCAGCACGGCAGUCCAGGGCAGUGGUGGGCAGCACGGCAGUCCAGGGCAGUGGUGGGCAGCACGGCAGUCCAGGGCAGUGGUGGGCAGCACGGCAGUCCAGGGCAGUGGUGGGCUGGGCAGGGCAGUGGUGGGCAGUCCAGGGCAGCACAGCAGUGGUGGGCAGCAGGGCCUUGGUGGGAAGCAGGGCAGUCCAGGGCAGCAGCCACCACAAAUGUUCAGAUUAACUUUUCUGUACAAAAUAAAAUGUAAAAUUUA
This 1123-nucleotide long non-coding RNA is filed under the name Homarus americanus (American lobster). Its description in RNAcentral is "uncharacterized LOC121876593, transcript variant X1". The record is from RNAcentral. Lineage: Eukaryota; Metazoa; Arthropoda; Malacostraca; Decapoda; Nephropidae.